This 2219-nucleotide unclassified non-coding RNA is filed under the name Rhipicephalus microplus (southern cattle tick). RNAcentral describes it as "mFS-type transporter SLC18B1-like, transcript variant X1". The record is from RNAcentral. Lineage: Eukaryota; Metazoa; Arthropoda; Arachnida; Ixodida; Ixodidae.
UCGCGUGCGCGCGCGUUCGCCAGCGCAGCGACUCUUCCACUUGGAGAAACUGCGGGCGGGCGCGUUAAGCGCAGCCGUCGACGACGCCGCCUCCGAGCGCCUCUCUUGUUUGUCGGUUACUGGCUCCUCCGCGAAGGAAUGCGAUAUUUCGGGAAGUCGGGCCGAAGCCCGACGGGGAAGCUGCCCUGAGUCAAAACAGGCGCACACCGUGCUGUCGACAUGCCCGGCCUUCGCAGGGCCCCACCACCAAGCACCGCCGCCGAUCCGCGGAGUCGAGCGAGGCGCGCGCGUUGCACCUCGAGAAAAGCGUCCCCGAGGAAGUUGUCCGAGUUCGUCGCCGCGCGAGUUGAGUGACUGAGUCGAGCGCCGAAACGACACGACGCUAACGCUGCGGCGUUCUGGGCGAAUCGCUGUCUGUGGCUGGAACGAGUGCCAAGAUAGAAGCGACGUCACUACGACGCGCGCGACUGCUAAGACGACGUUUAGCAACGGUGGCGACCUUGUCGGACUUAUCCAACCUGUCCCGUCGAAGAAGAGGACUUCAUUCCUCCUCUGACUACCUACGCUGACUUUUUCCUUCUUUACUUCUUUCCUCGGCCGUUGGAGAAUUAGUGGUGGGCCGAGUUGCGCAGAAAGAAGCGGAGACGGAAACAGGCAAAUGACAAGACUCCGGACGAAGCGCUAACUUCGGAGGGUUCGCCAUGGGCACGCCGGCGCGAACGAGUGCCGACAUCUCCCCCGGCGAAGGUGACCGAGAGCGCAAACUCGGAGAACUGCCGUCCCCGAGCGAAGAGGACGCCACCAUCGGACUCGAAAAUGUCACGCGACCUGGCGAGGACCGUCUCAGGAAUACGAGCCUGCUGUCCAGGCUUAGCCAGUACACAUGGCUUGUGCCACUUAUACACACCCACUUCUGGGUGUCUGCGGCAUUCUCCCUUAUGCAGCCCUACUAUCCUCGCCUCGCGGCAAACGCUGGUCUCGAAGCGUGGAAGUACGGCUUCGUGUUUUCAACAUUCAAGCUAACAAUGCUUCUUGGAUCUGUAUCCACCGAAAGGCUUAUGGUUCUUUCGACUCCACUGAAAUGCUACCUCUGUGGCCAGGUUGGCUUUUUCCUGUACAAUGUCAUAUUCGGGUCCCUUUACUGGUCACCGGGGGGAACCGUAUUCCUCGCUCUCUCCCUGGUGGCGGUCAUCUUCGGCGGCUUCGUGCAAACAGUGUAUCUUGUCUCAGCGUACUCAGUAGUCACCUCUGAGUUGCAUCAGAGCAGUGGCGUCAUCAUCGCCAUCAUGGAAUUCAUGUUUGGAUGCGGGAACAUGGCUGGUUCUGUGCUCGGAGGAGCCCUCAUCGAUUUGUGGGAAUAUCCUCUGCCGUUCUUUGUCCUGGGUACCAUAAUCAUCCUGUCGAUUCCUUGGAUUAUCAAGCACAAGAAAGUACCGAACAAACAACCUGAAGCGCCACCGGAAGGGGCCUUAAUGCUGGCCCAAGGUUCGGAGAAAAAGCUUUAUCGACUGCUUUGGGACCCACUUUUCAUGGUCAACAUGGUAACACUGAUGCUUUCUUGGGUCAUCAUGGGCUUCAAUGAACCCACCCUGGAACCAUACUUGAGACAGUUCAGCCUCAGCAGCACGCGACUUGGAGUACUGUACAUGGUACAGUUUGCAAGUUACACCGUGGGAGCGGCAUUCGCGGGACUGUUUUGUUACGUCAAGAUGGCAGCAUUUUUUGCUUUUACCGGUCAACUAAUGACGGCUUUCGCCUACCUGAUACUUGGCCCAGCACCAUUUGUUCAACAAGACCCCUCUGGAUGGUCUACGUCUCCCAGACGUUCACGGGUGUUGGUAUGGCUGCUCAGUUCAUCUGCAGCUUUUCGUUGGCGCUCAGCCAUACAGCUAAGCGAGGGUACCCAGAUGACAUACGUACUACUGGAUUCGUGUCAACUGUUGUAGUGACAUUCUUGGUUAUUGGUGCCAUUACGACCCCUCCAAUAGCAGGGCUUCUCGUAGAAAAGUUCAGCUACAGACCGGGAUCUAUGUUCCUCUUUGGCAUCCUGUUAUUCUGGACACCCAUAACGCUUCUUCACUGGAUUUAUUUGAUGUACACUCAACGAACGAGGAGAGCCAAUGUAGCAUCGCGGGAUCGAUUCAUUUUUUCUCGGAAGUCAUGAAUGUGCCAGCAGUUGUCAUUUGGUGUCAAUAAUAAAUAUAUAUUCAUUUUUUGUA